UCUGGGAUUAGAUACCCUGUUAUUAAAAAUGUAAAUUUAAAUAUUAAGGUAGUAUUAGUUAUGUUCUUUAAACUUAAAAAAUUUGGCGGUAUUUUAAUCUAUUCAGAGGAACCUGUUCUGUAAUCGAUAAUCCACGAUGGACCUAACUUAAAUUUGUAAUCAGUUUAUAUACCGUUGUUAUUAAAAUAUUUUAUUAGAAUGUUAAUUUUUUUAAUUUUUUAUUAGAAAAUAUAUCAGAUCAAGGUGUAGCUUAUAUUUAAGUAGAAAUGGGUUACAAUAAAUUUAUUUAUGGAUAUAAAUUUGAAAUAUUUAUUGAAAAUGGAUUUGAUAGUAAAAUUAUAAAGAUAAAUAAUUUGAUUAUAGUUCUAAAAUAUGUACAAAUCGCCCG
This 388-nucleotide ribosomal RNA is filed under the name Rhinophora lepida. RNAcentral's name for it is "partial small subunit ribosomal RNA". The record is from RNAcentral. Lineage: Eukaryota; Metazoa; Arthropoda; Insecta; Diptera; Rhinophoridae.